GCUCACUUUGGUACUCAUGUACUAAAUUGAAAUAAUUCAGAAUAGAUUAGCAUUUCCUACUAUACAAGGAUGACAUGCAAAUUCUUGAAGCAUUCAAUAUUUAA
Acomys russatus (golden spiny mouse) is the source of this 104-nucleotide small nuclear RNA. The record is from RefSeq and is a predicted model, not a curated record. NCBI's taxonomy places the organism in Eukaryota, Metazoa, Chordata, Mammalia, Rodentia, Muridae.